GGGGUGCCAAUAAUAAUUCCUUUUCCUACACAUAACCCAAAAGUCCGAGAGAUUAGCUUUUAUUUCAUCUCCUCUCCCUGAAACCAAUGGCGGCUCCAUUGCUGUUGUCGAGCGAUUCCACUGAACUGAAAAUUGAGAGAUGAUUGAGAAGAAUUAGGUGAUGGGUUCUUGUGGUUGUUCUUCAAGGGUGAGAAGAAUAAGAACUGGUGAUGUGAUGAUGAGGUUGAACUCGAUUUCAGAGAGGAAGAACAGAAAAUAUAGGGUUUGUGUUUGUUGUUGGUUUGUGAGGAGAUUGAUGACUAUUUGAGAGUUUGUUAAGGAAUAGAAGAUGGGUCUGAGACGAAUUGGGGUUUUGAGAAGUCAAGCAAGUUGAACUCGAUUUCAGAGAGGAAGAACAGAAAAUCUAGGGUUUGUGUUUGCUGUUGGUUUAUGAGGAGAUUGAUGACUAUUUGAGAGUUUGUUAAGGAAUAGAAGAUGGGUCUGAGACGAAUUGGGGUUUUGAGAAAUCAGGCAAGUUGAACUGAAAUAAUGAGUGGUUGAGAUGGUGAAUUUGGGUUUCUGAAUUGAGAAUUUGGUAGCAAAUUGGGUCGAUUGUGUGUUGAACAAGAUGCAGAAUCUGUGUGUGGCUGCUAUUUACGGUGCUAGAUGUAGCUGAAAUGGUGUUCUUGCUGGUUCCAAAGAUGAAGAAUGGUUGCAGUCUCACUGAAGCUGAGUUCUAAGGAUUUAUAUGGAGCUGAGUACAAGACAGAACGAGCAUUUGAAGUGAUUGCAGGUGCUGGUGAUGUUCUGAUGCUAAGAAACACACACAUAUCUGUAUGCGGAUGAGGCUCGAGUUAACAGUCAUGUGAGAGGCGGCUUGGAAUGAAUUGACCUAAGAUGGAGCUGUUGAUUGUGUUGGUGCUUGAAGGUGGUAAUAGAUGCGACAGUGGAGACUCAGCUGAGAAGUCACCAUGGUACGAGUGAACUGAGAUGGUGUUGUGUUGGUAGGAUAUGUACUUGUUGCAGACAACAAAAAGAGGUGCAAACUGGAAGCUAUGAUGGUGUUAUGGAGGUUGUGUGCGGAUGUCCGGCUGCAGAAGGCAUUAGAGUUGCAGCUGGUGGCUGAGUUCAGUGGUUCUGGUGGAUGCCUAGAUGUAUGUUAGGACAGGUUCAUUAUAGGUGAAGCUCCAAAUGGGAUUUGAUAUGUGAUGUUGUUGAGGCAGAGAUGAAGAAUAUCUGUUUUGCAGUGGGAGUGGCAAUGGAAUUAAAGGUCUUUGUGCUUAGUUGGGAUGAGUUGAAGCUGCUGAGAUAUGAAAAUUGCAGAAUGAGCCCGUGCAGCUGGAUUGCAGUGAGGUUCUGGUAUUAAUGAGCUGAGCAAGGAAGUUACAGUGGUAUAGAGGCGCAGAUGAUGGGGUUUGUGAACUAGUGUGCAAUGGAAUUGAUGUUGUUGUGCGGUGUUAAAUGGGAUAAGCUGAGAAAUGGCUUAGCGACAAAGAAAAGUGAACUGUUGGCUUGAGGGAUUGAGGUUAUGGUGAUUGUGGAACCGAAGCAGGUGGUUUAGUGAUGCUGCAGUCUGUAAAUUGAAGUUGCAGGUGCUUUUGUGUUGUUGAAGUUGAAGCUGAACUAUUGGUGAUGCUGUAAUGAAAUGGAGCUGAAGCAUUGGUGGUGAAUGGAGCUGGGACUUUGGAAGAGAAACCAGUUUUAGGAAGCAGUGGUGUUGAUGAUGUGAAGAUCGAAGGAUUGGGUUUGGUGUCAUGCAGUGGUUGUGCAAUGAAAGAUGAUUUGGCCUGGCAGGGUGAAAUUGAGAUGCGUAUGGUGCUGGUUGUUGCUGCUCAAGAGGGAGUUGCAGGCUUGAUUUUGAAAUGAAUGAAUGGGUAUGUUGUGAAUGUUGUCUAUGUAUCAUGGCAGUGAAGGACUUGAGAAUAGGCCGACAUUUGGCCGGGAGAACACGCCAGUGCAGACAGAACUCGGUCAGUUACCGAGUCAGGCGAGUUGACUCAGCUGAUCCAGUAGCUGACUCAGAUGGACUUGGGCUUGGAUUGUAUGGGAUAGACAGGUUUUGUCUUUGGCGAGCUUGCCAUGAUUUGUGCGUGAUAUGGCCUGGAUUUUGGAAUGGGUGGAGAAAGAAAAAGUCUAUAAAAGGACUCUCUUUAAUUCUCAGUAGGACAUCUUAUCUUUUACUUCUAUUUUUGUUCUAGGAUUUGUGAACAUGAUAGAUUUAUUUCUUUUUUGGAUGAACUCCAUGAACAUGAGUUAGAUUAUUAUUAUUGGUUAUGAAAUAAUUUGAUUUCACAUAA
Long non-coding RNA from Papaver somniferum (opium poppy), 2276 nucleotides. RefSeq lists it as uncharacterized. The record is from RefSeq and is a predicted model, not a curated record. The transcript has 2 exons. NCBI's taxonomy places the organism in Eukaryota, Viridiplantae, Streptophyta, Magnoliopsida, Ranunculales, Papaveraceae.